Molecule: long non-coding RNA, 326 nt
Filed under: Manacus vitellinus (golden-collared manakin)
Lineage: Eukaryota; Metazoa; Chordata; Aves; Passeriformes; Pipridae
Description: lncRNA (ENSMVIG00005016043.1)
Source: RNAcentral
UCGUUGGCAUAGAAGAGAGAAAGCCGCCUUCUGCAGGGAACCCUGUCCCUGCAAAGGUACCCCCAGCAAGCCCAGCAGCCUGGACAUCCCUCCAGCUGCAUCCACGCUGGACACCGGACUGACCCCUUGAACAGGAUGGCGGCGUCACCCAUUCUCAGAGGAAGGGAAGGCCAGAGCUGCCACCAAGGAGGGAAGCAGAGCCCCGUGGCUGUGGGAAGGACUGACCCUUUGCAGGCUGACAACAUGGAAGGACCCUCCCCAGCUGGGCAAGCUUUGUGCAGCCCUGGUUUCUGUUGCACUCGGGGCAGCUCUUUCCCAUCCUGUCC